UAUGAAAUAAUCUUUGCUGAAAAAAUAUGAAAUAAUCUUUGCUGAAAAAAUAUGAAAUAAUCUUUGCUGAAAUAACCAUUUGGUUCCAAAAGGGUUGAUGGGUCUAAUCUCCCAAGCUGUCUAUGAUGGUGGCCACCACGUCUUAGGGUAAUUUCUCUCUCUCUCUCUCUCUUCUCCACUCAUAAACUCCAUUAUUUAUUUUUUUGCAGAGUGAUUCCAAAAACUCUUAUGCCUAGAGAGGUAUCAAGCAUACAAUUACAAGAUGACCUUUUGUCAAUGUUAGUUUCUGGGCAUGAGACCACUGGUUCUGUGUUAACUUGGAUAGCAUAUCUUCUGAGCAAGGGACACCAGUGUGAGCAUUUCAUACCCUGGUGUCAAUGGCGUUGGUACCAGCACCGGCGGAAGCGGUUCUGAUGGGGGGUCCGAUAGCAGCAGUGGCAAUGGCGGGAACUUUUUUGGGAUGAUAUUUGGGAGCAGCGCGCCACCACCACCUUCAUCAUCUACAACCACUACCAUCCUCUUGUCUCUUUCAAUUAUUUUAAGUUUAUACAUUACCACCAACUAUGGUACUCUAUUAUCAUUAUCAUUGUUAUCAUCAUUGUUAUCAUCUCACAGAUUCAUUCAAUAAGAAUUUACUGAUGAAAUGGAAAGGAGGCAUUUCUAGUUAAUUUCUGAAUUUCUUGUUCCUGAUGCUUUAAUUCUAUAUCUUGUUUCUCUUUUAAUCUUUAUAUGGUAAUUUUUUUGAUUUGUUUGGUUUUCUUCUCAGGGGUAUGUUUUAAAAUCAGAAAAUAUGAAGAAGUUUUUUGACUAUAUACAACUUCCAAAUUUCAAUGUUGCUGCCAAUGCUAUAGAAACCUUUAA
Non-coding RNA from Camellia sinensis, 861 nucleotides. The record is from RefSeq and is a predicted model, not a curated record. NCBI's taxonomy places the organism in Eukaryota, Viridiplantae, Streptophyta, Magnoliopsida, Ericales, Theaceae.